Molecule: ribosomal RNA, 440 nt
Filed under: uncultured bacterium
Lineage: Bacteria
Description: partial 16S ribosomal RNA
Rfam family: Bacterial small subunit ribosomal RNA
Source: RNAcentral
CCUACGGGGGGCAGUAGUGGGGGAUAUUGCACAAUGGGGGGAACCCUGAUGCAGCGACGCCGCGUGGGUGAAGGAGCGUUUCGGCGCGUAAAGCCCUAUCGGCAGGGAAGUAGAUGACGGUACCUGACCAAGAAGCCACGGCUAACUACGUGCCAGCAGCCGCGGUAAUACGUAGGGGGCAAGCGUUAUCCGGAUUUACUGGGUGUAAAGGGGGCGUAGAGGGCAAAGCAAGUCAGGAGUGAAAGCCCGGGGCCCAACCCCGGGAUUGCACUUGGAACUGGAUGUCUGGAGUACAGGAGGGGCAGGCGGAAUUCCUAGUGUAGCGGUGAAAUGCGUAGAUAUUAGGAGGAACACCGGUGGCGAAGGCAGCCUGCUGGACUGUGACUGACGUUGAGGCCCGAAGGCGUGGGGAGCAAACAGGAUUAGAUACCCGAGUAGUC